RNAcentral lists this ribosomal RNA (612 nucleotides) under uncultured bacterium. RNAcentral's name for it is "bacterial SSU rRNA". It matches the Rfam family "Bacterial small subunit ribosomal RNA", at positions 63 to 633 of the family's 1533-position model. The record is from RNAcentral.
CGAACGGGAACCUUGGGUUUCAAUCCUUCGGGAGAGAGACCCUUGGCGAGAGUGGCGGAAGGGUGAGGAACACGUGGGCAAUUUACCUCUAAGUUGGGGAUAGCCACUGGAAACGGUGGAUAAUACCGAAUGUGGUAUUCCAACGCAUGUUGGAUGAUCUAAAGGCGGGGAUCCUUCGGGACCCGUCGCUUGGAGAUGAGCCCGCGUCCUAUCAGCUUGUUGGUGAGGUAACGGCUCACCAAGGCUUAGACGGGUAGCUGGUCUGAGAGGAUGGUCAGCCACACUGGGACUGAGACACUGCCCAGACUCCUACGGGAGGCUGCAGUCGAGAAUCAUUCGCAAUGCGCGCAAGCGCGACGAUGCGACGCCGCGUGCAGGAUGAAGGCCUUCGGGUUGUAAACUGCUGUCAUGGGGGAAAAACAGCCCCGGUAUUAAUACCAUCGGGGUGUGAUGGUACCCCAAGAGGAAGCCACGGCUAACUCUGUGCCAGCAGCCGCGGUAAUACAGAGGUGGCGAGCGUUGUUCGGAUUUACUGGGCGUAAAGGGUGCGUAGGCGGUCUCGUAUGUCGGCUGUGAAAGCUCUGGGCUCAACCCAGAAAUUGCAUCCGAAAC